Molecule: long non-coding RNA, 806 nt
Filed under: Homo sapiens (human)
Lineage: Eukaryota; Metazoa; Chordata; Mammalia; Primates; Hominidae
Description: HSALNT0072924
Source: RNAcentral
CAAGUAGCUGGGACUACAGGCGCCCGUCACCACGCCGGGCUAAUUUUUUGUAUUUUUAGUAGAGACGGAGUUUCACCAUGUUAGCCAGGAUGGUCUCGAUCUUCUGACCUCGUGAUCCGCCCGCCUCGGCCUCCAAAGUGCUGGGAUCUGAAUUCAAUUUUGCAGGAAGCCAAAGAAAGUGAAAGGAUCCUAGCAAGUUUCCUGAACACAUCAACUUCAGGGUUAUGGCCCACCACAAGGGAUAUUCUCAAGGGUUGAGCAUUGGAUUCCUGUUAGCUACUGCCUACUCUUUUCACUUAAGAAGAAAUGUUUAUUUGUGAGAACAUUAUACAAGCCAUCUUUUCCUUUCAGCACCAUCUUCACACCACACAACUUCCAGGAUUAUCUCCUUCCAACCACCAGAGUCACAUCCUGCAGGGCAUUGACUCUCUGGAUCUGAAGAAGGCACCCAUCCCUGCUAAACUGUGAGUAUUGAAACCAGCUGCAGCAUCGUCUUCAGACUCAGGAGAAGCUGACAAUCAAAAUGAACUGCUUUUGUGAGACAUGGUGCCAGAAAUUAAAACUAUUAAAUCAUUAUUAAAUCCCUCUAGGACCAGGGACUAUUGGGAAAAUGAGAGCACAUGUGAUUCUAAGGGCUGAUUUUGAGGGAUAAAAUUAAUUCACAGUUUUUCUAUAAAUUAAACAUUAAUAUCAAAAGUACACUGAUGCAAGUCUAGCAUCUGAGCCUGUGUGUUGGAAUAACGGGGUUCUUUUGGAACAUUAAUCUCAUUUUUUUUUGUUUUAUUGAUCUUCUUUUCAAUAGAAAA